CCUCCUUUCUUCCUCCUUUUUUCCUCUUUCCCCCUUUUGUCCCCCCUGCUGCCGCGACGCCGCGUGAGUGAAGAAGCGUUUCGGCGCGUAAAGCUCUGUCAGCGGGGAAGAAACACGGUUCGCGAGAGCCGCGGACGGUACCCGACCAAGAAGCACCGGCUAACUACGUGCCAGCAGCCGCGGUAAUACGUAGGGGGCAAGCGUUAUCCGGAUUCACUGGGUGUAAAGGGAGCGUAGACGGCGAGACAAGUCUGGAGUGAAAGGCCGGGGCCCAACCCCGGAACUGCUCUGGAAAUUGCCUGGCUAGAGUACAGGAGAGGUGAGUAGAAUUCCUAGUGUAGCGGUGAAAUGCGUAGAGAUUAGGAGGAAUACCAGUGGCGAAGGCGGCUUACUGGACUGUAACUGACGUUGAGGCUCGAAAGCGUGGGGAGCAAACAGGAUUAGAUACCCCUGUAGUC
This 458-nucleotide ribosomal RNA is filed under the name uncultured bacterium. Its description in RNAcentral is "partial 16S ribosomal RNA". It matches the Rfam family "Bacterial small subunit ribosomal RNA", at positions 377 to 795 of the family's 1533-position model. The record is from RNAcentral.